CAAUAGUUUACUUUUACAACUAUCAAAAUAUUGUUAACCAUUUAAAGGAGAACAAAGCUCAUUUUUUAGAUUUCCGGAAUUUCAACUUCCGUUUUUACUUCCGGUUUCAAAAUGCCAAAUAACUCCUUAUUUGUUGGUCUGUCAGAAAAAAGAUUCACAUUUUCGUGAUUCUCGUCAAAUUUGGGAUCGAGUCCAUGGGUCAUCUAAAAAUACCCGAAAAUCGUCAAAAAUCGCAAAUUUUCCUGAUUUCCUGAUUUCCUGAUGUUCAUGAAAAAUCGUGAUUUUGGUCAAAUCCGACUUUUGGCUAAAAACAUGUCAUUCCAACCCCAAAUUUGAUAAGGAUCACGAAAAUCCUACUCGUUUUGUUAUAGGAUCACUACUUCCGGAGAUAUUGGCUACUUCCGGUUACUUCCGGGAAAUUUUCGUGACGAUUUGCAAAAGAAAAGAAUUAGCUGUAUUAUUCUAACAAUUUACAAUGUUUUUCUUGCAUGCGUUAGGGUGUUGCAGCUUUUAUUCCGUGUUACUCUUGCUAUCAACAGUACAGGCUGACCCUACGAUCAACGACAGUUUUAGCUAAUAGCACCUCGUCUUGCAACUAGUAGUUGAUAUUUUAGGUUUUUAUGUUUAAAAUUGGAAUCAACUGCCUGAGAUUAGUAAAGUUCAAGCACUUAAAAGCAAGAAUUGUACUGAUUUAAAAGUAAAAUCCAUUUUCUUUGAGUUUAGGCGAAAAUAGAAAUACUAGAUGGCGUUGUUGUGCGUCAAUGAUAAAUAUUACGAGUGACAAGUUAAAGGGUGUUUGUUACGUUUCUACCCUGUUUAGUGUUUCAAAGGAUUUUUCGUCAAAAAUUAAGCUGUGUGUUAUUAUCUGGUUUCGCCUUGUCAGCUGCUGAACCAGUAUCCUGCAUUCCUGCUAUCGAUGUACCACAAGGAAUGCUGACACUUUAAGAAGACAAAAAGUGACCACUAUGCCCGAGACAUGAACAUCACCAUCCUGUUAAGUCUUCGUCUGCUAUGUGUUGCAAACUAUCAGCCCUUAGCGUCCCAUGUUUCCAGAAUAUAAAGCUUCUCUGCUUAGUCAACCAUCAUCCAUACACUUCAGCUUCUUCAUUGUGGUUUCUCUUCCUCUCUUCUUAGCCUGCUGAAUGCCAACAGGCAUACAGGUUCGUCAUUGCCUUACCAUGAAAUAGGAAAUAUUGUUAAUCAUGCUGCCAAAUCGUCUUCGUACGAGUCAUGCAGUUAUAGACUCCUCGUGGAAUUUCAUUGCAACAUCCACCCAGGCUGAAAAGGGCAUCCUACCAGUUACUUGUACCAUACCUGCCUCGCCGUCUUGGCCUCGCCUUCCUCGCCUCGCCUCAUCGUCUUCAAGCUGAUCAUCUUUAUCUCACUGUCAUCGAGCUCAUCGUCAUUGCCGCAUGAUCUUUGCUCGCGCCCGGCUUCUCAUCGCCGUCAUCGUGGAACCUCGCGUUUUUGGUAUUUUUUUUGUUUUUUUUGUUGUUUUGUAUUGUUGUAUUGUGUAUGUUAAAAGUUAACCCGUUGGCUGCCACCCAUUUUGCUCCCCUUUUUUUUUUAGUUGUAGGGACCGGCGGCGCUGUUCUGCCCCAUGGUUGAUCACCCAUGGGGUGGGGCAGUCGCCUUGCGCCUUAGGGCGCCGUAGGCAAUGCACCAGUAGGGACUUCCCCUUGUCGAUGCGAUGGUGGAGUACCUGGGGUGUGCAUUCCCGUAAAGGUCUCCAUCGUCAAGUCAGCCCGGACUUGUCUUUGGACAAGUCCCCCUUUCAUCGGAUCCCUCUGAAACGAUGCGUAGCAACUGUAGAACAACCUAUGGGUUGUAAUGGCUUGGCAGCCAACGGGUUAACUUAAGUGUUUGUUUUUGUAUGCAUGUAUGUACUGUAUUUAUUGUAUAACAUGUGAUGUAUGUAUUGAAUAACAUGUGAUGUAAAACUGUGGUGGAAUUGUGGGUGGAGG
This is a long non-coding RNA of Daphnia magna, 1964 nucleotides long. RefSeq lists it as uncharacterized. NCBI's taxonomy places the organism in Eukaryota, Metazoa, Arthropoda, Branchiopoda, Diplostraca, Daphniidae. The transcript is spliced from 6 exons. The record is from RefSeq and is a predicted model, not a curated record.